RNAcentral lists this ribosomal RNA (790 nucleotides) under uncultured fungus. RNAcentral describes it as "eukaryotic LSU rRNA". The stretch from base 1 to 241 matches the Rfam family "Eukaryotic small subunit ribosomal RNA", at positions 1593 to 1831 of the family's 1831-position model. The record is from RNAcentral. Lineage: Eukaryota; Fungi.
UUGCUCUUCAACGAGGAAUGCCUAGUAAGCGCGUGUCAUCAGCACGCGUUGAUUACGUCCCUGCCCUUUGUACACACCGCCCGUCGCUACUACCGAUUGAAUGGCUCAGUGAGGCCUUCGGACUGGCUCGAGGAGGUUGGCAACGACCACCUCAAGCCGGAAAGUUGGUCAAACUCGGUCAUUUAGAGGAAGUAAAAGUCGUAACAAGGUUUCCGUAGGUGAACCUGCGGAAGGAUCAUUAUCCAUCCAAAACCAGCUGCGGUCGCGGCCCCACGCUUACCCGUGGCGGUACGCGCCGCACGUCUGCACCCUUUUUUUACGAGUACCUUCGUUCUCCCUCGGCAGGGCAACCUGCCGUUGGAACCAUACGAAACCUUUUUUUGCAUCUAGCAUUACCUGUUCUGAUACAAACAAUCGUUACAACUUUCAACAAUGGAUCUCUUGGCUCUGGCAUCGAUGAAGAACGCAGCGAAAUGCGAUAAGUAGUGUGAAUUGCAGAAUUCAGUGAAUCAUCGAAUCUUUGAACGCACAUUGCGCCCCUUGGUAUUCCAUGGGGCAUGCCUGUUCGAGCGUCAUCUACACCCUCAAGCUCUGCUUGGUGUUGGGCGUCUGUCCCGCCUCUGCGCGUGGACUCGCCUCAAAAUCAUUGGCAGCGGUCCUUGCCUCCUCUCGCGCAGCACAUUGCGCUUCUCGAGGGGCGUGGGUCGCGUCCACGAAGCAACAUUACCGUCUUUGACCUCGGAUCAGGUAGGGAUACCCGCUGAACUUAAGCAUAUCAAUAAGCGGAGGA